Molecule: transfer RNA, 72 nt
Filed under: Ornithorhynchus anatinus (platypus)
Lineage: Eukaryota; Metazoa; Chordata; Mammalia; Monotremata; Ornithorhynchidae
Rfam family: tRNA
About the family: Transfer RNA (tRNA) molecules are approximately 80 nucleotides in length.
Source: Rfam by way of RNAcentral
AGCAGCGUGGCUCAGUGGAAAGAGCACAGGUUUGGGAUUCCGAGGUCAUGGGUUCGAAUCCUGGCUCUGCCA